GUAUUUUGUGAACACCAAGAUUCAGUCUGGAUACUGGCUUCAUUACCAGCGAAGAGUCUGGACACUGGCUUCAUUACCAGCAAAGAGCUCAAGUGAUCAUGUGGCUUACCAUGUUUGUCAGGUUUCUCUUAACCAAUCACAUUCUGGUUUUAAAUGUGAAGGCAAAAUGGUCUAAUUUCUCACCGUAAAUAGAGCAAUCUGAAUAUCAAGACCCAGGAAAUUUCCAAGGUAUUGUCCUUUCUUUGCUGUUCUUGAACUGAUAAUCAUGU
This 269-nucleotide long non-coding RNA is filed under the name Ictidomys tridecemlineatus (thirteen-lined ground squirrel). Its description in RNAcentral is "lncRNA (ENSSTOG00000032221.1)". Lineage: Eukaryota; Metazoa; Chordata; Mammalia; Rodentia; Sciuridae. The record is from RNAcentral.